Molecule: ribosomal RNA, 253 nt
Filed under: uncultured bacterium
Lineage: Bacteria
Description: partial 16S ribosomal RNA
Rfam family: Bacterial small subunit ribosomal RNA
Source: RNAcentral
UACGUAGGGGGCUAGCGUUGUCCGGAAUCAUUGGGCGUAAAGAGCGUGUAGGCGGCUCGGUAAGUCCGCUGUGAAAGUCCAGGGCUCAACCCUGGAAUGCCAGUGGAAACUGUCGAGCUAGAGUCCGGAAGAGGCGAGUGGAAUUCCUGGUGUAGCGGUGAAAUGCGCAGAUAUCAGGAGGAACACCGGUGGCGAAGGCGGGUCUCUGGGCCGAUACUGACGCUGAGGAGCGAAAGCGUGGGUAGCAAACAGG